This 275-nucleotide ribosomal RNA is filed under the name uncultured bacterium. RNAcentral's name for it is "partial 16S ribosomal RNA". It matches the Rfam family "Bacterial small subunit ribosomal RNA", at positions 523 to 797 of the family's 1533-position model. The record is from RNAcentral.
AUACGGAGGGUGCAAGCGUUAUCCGGAUUUACUGGGUUUAAAGGGUACGCAGGCGGUAAUUUAAGUCAGUGGUGAAAGCCUACAGCUCAACUGUAGAACUGCCAUUGAAACUGAAUUACUUGAGUAUGGUAGAGGUAGGCGGAAUACAACAUGUAGCGGUGAAAUGCAUAGAUAUGUUGUAGAACACCGAUUGCGAAGGCAGCUUACUAAACCAUUACUGACGCUCAUGUACGAAAGCGUGGGGAGCGAACAGGAUUAGAAACCCCAGUAGUCCC